UUUUUCAUUCUACUGCAGUGGAAGAACAUUGUUCAUCUGUUUGGCUUCAACAACUCCAAAGACAUGUUGCUUUACCUCUUUUUGAUUUUAUCUCACUUCAUAGGACUAAUAGCUGGAGACACAAUCUCUCCUGUAAGAGAUGAAGUCAGUGGAGGAGAAGGAGAAUCUGUCAAACUCAGAUGUGUCUAUGAGACAACCAGUGAUUAUGUUUAUCUUUACUGGUACAGACAUCAUUCUGACCUUCAGGCACCUCAGUUUAUACUCUUGAAAGGAGCAAAAUCAUUGGCCAGUUAUGGAUAUAUUCCUAACAAUCGAUACGAAUCCCAAACAACAGAUACAUCAACUGAACUGACCAUAAACAGACUAACCCUGGCAGACACAGCCCUCUACUACUGUGCUCUAGAGACACAGUGAUACAAAGUGUAGAAGAGGCUGUACAAAAACCUGAACACAGAUAUCUGACUACUCUUCAAAGAGGAGGGAAGUGGUAUUCAACCCACAGCUUCAUAUCAGAUGGACUCUGCUAAUUCCUGUUUUCUCAGAGUCACUGUGGUGACAGCUGCUAGUGAAACACUGUGGGAGGAUUCACAUGAGCAGCAAAUCCACAUCAAUGAAGAACCAACUGGAUGGUGCUUCAAACACGAGACACCAGGAAAACAAAUAAAUGGACAAUGACGUCCUCACUUAAUCCUCUUCAUACACUGCGGGUCAUUAGGCCACGAUGAGCUGCUUCCAUUGUUCACUGUCCUUGGCAACAUGUAGAGCUACAUCCCAAAUACACACUAAAGCAUUAACUCAUAAAACUCUGAAAUCAUCAGUAGUUUAUAUUUACAGACAUUGAAAUCGAAGGAAAAACUCAGCAGAAUCAAACUUUAACAGCUCAAGUUUUUACCAAGUUUCAACAUUGGCUGAUUUAAGCUUCCACGACAACUCCGCCAUCUUAGUAUUUGACCAACAGAUACUAAACUGGCAAAUCAUCCUCAAGAGAAAAAACACUCUGAAAAGAACAUAAAAAGUCACAUGAUGAUCAAAUAUUAACCCUCAGUUUACCUGUGAUCUUUCUGAUAAAAGAUAUUAAAGGGGCCGUAGCAGGUUCACAACAAUUAGUCAAUCUGCGCUAUUUGUAAAAGAGGAAACGUGUCACCUCAAAUUUCCAAUGAUGACUUCAUACAAGACAAGUUAAGGUAGGAAAGCAGAGCGGUACAAAACUGUGUUGAGUGUAAAGUUGUCAGUAGGGGGGGUAACAGAGGGCUGUGAAUGAGCCCUGUCACUGUGAUCAGGCUCCUUCUAGUCCACCAACUUAGUGUUGAUGAAGACUAAACAGAGACUUCACAGCCUUCGUUAUACUUGCUGUAGCUCACAGCGACUCAACACUGCAGAUAUGACGCCUCUGCUCAUCUCAGUGCUGCUGGCUGCUAUGUGCCUUGAAUGCAGAGCACAAAAAGACAACGUGCUGCAACCAAAAAGAGAUGUGACUGCUACUGAAGGAGAGGCAGUAACACUUGACUGUCUAUAUAACAGCA
Molecule: long non-coding RNA, 1523 nt
Organism: Xiphias gladius (swordfish)
Lineage: Eukaryota; Metazoa; Chordata; Actinopteri; Istiophoriformes; Xiphiidae
Exons: 3
Source: RefSeq, a predicted model, not a curated record